Molecule: ribosomal RNA, 444 nt
Filed under: uncultured bacterium
Lineage: Bacteria
Description: partial 16S ribosomal RNA
Rfam family: Bacterial small subunit ribosomal RNA
Source: RNAcentral
GUAGGGAAUAUUGGUCAAUGGACGAAAGUCUGAACCAGCCAUUCCGCGUGCAGGAAGAAGAUUCUAUGGAUUGUAAACUGCUUUUAGCAGAGAAGAAACGCCUUCAUUGAUGAGGGUUUGACGGUAUCUGCGGAAUAAGCACCGGCUAACUCCGUGCCAGCAGCCGCGGUAAUACGGGGGUGCAAGCGUUAUCCGGAAUCACUGGGUUUAAAGGGUGCGUAGGCGGGAAAUUAAGUCAGUGGUGAAAGUCUGUUGCUUAACGAUAGAAUUGCCGUUGAGACUGAUGUGCUUGAAUUGGGUUGAGGUUAGCGGAAUGUGACAUGUAGCGGUGAAAUGCAUAGAUAUGUCAUGGAACACCAAUUGUGAAGGCAGCUAGCUGGGCCUUGAUUGACGCUGAGGCACGAAAGCGUGGGUAGCGAACAGGAUUAGAUACCCUUGUAGUCC